UGGAAAAGCAUUCCAUGUGAAGCUGGUUGAGAGAAUGCCAAGAGUGUGCAAAGCUGUCAUCAAGGCAAAGGUUAGCUACUUUGAAGAAUCUGAAAUAUAAUAUGUGUUAUUUCAUAGUUAUGAACAGACAUGUUUCUUAGCUUUUUGGAUGUUAUUCUCUCUUCAAAACUAUCCUUACAAAUUGAGACAUCUGUUGAGUAUGGAGGUAAGGUCUCCCAACAACGUUUUAAUGUUGGGCCAUGGCGUUAAAACUAUCCUUACAAAUUGAGACAUCUGUUGAGUAUGGAGGUAAGGUCUCCCAACAACGUUUUAAUGUUGGGCCAUGGCGUUAAAACUAUCCUUACAAAUUGAGACAUCUGUUGAGUAUGGAGGUAAGGUCUCCCAACAACGUUUUAAUGUUGGGCCAUGGCGUUAAAACUAUCCUUACAAAUUGAGACAUCUGUUGAGUAUGGAGGUAAGGUCUCCCAACAAUGUUUUAAUGUUGGGCCAUGGCGUUAAAACUAUCCUUACAAAUUGAGACAUCUGUUGAGUAUGGAGGUAAGGUCUCCCAACAACGUUUUAAUGUUGGGCCAUGGCGUUAAAAGAAAUCCCCCGUCGGCCUCUUAACUUUCGCUGUUACGAUUGAGCUGUGUGCGUCACGCAUAUUUGUGUAUUUGUUUAUAAUUUAAUGAACCUUCAAAACCUCUAUUUUCAAUAUUGAUCUACCAUUCUUUUGGUGCUAUUCCGUUGUAGAAUGUCACACAACAAUUCAGUUGUUUUUGAUCUGAGAACUAUUUGUUUUUUUAAUAUGUUAUAAAAUCCGUAUAUAUCUGAGGUUUUCUCAAACUUCUUUUUUUCCAUGGGGGAUUUUCUAUUUGAUAAAUAUAAAUGCUGUUCAAUGUAGUUUUUUUGAGUCAAGUGAUAUUUCUGAACUCAAGCUAGACUUUUUUGCUUGUAAAUGUUUUUUCUCUCUCUUUUUAAUUAGAGUUCUUUCUCAAGCAUGAUCCUAAAUUGUGUUACUUGUAUGAACUAUAACUCUUCAAGUGUUGUUGUUCUCGUUGUAAUCAGUUCAGAAAGUAAAAUGAUGAUAAUUAAGAUGAAGAAAGUUUUUUGUUUUUGAUUGAAUUGGAAAUAUGCAUUUAAUUGCUAUUUUUAUAUUUGAAUCUCUAGUUUAAAGGGUUCAAGAGUUCGAAUCCCGUAAUGGCAAUGGUUUGAGACAAUUUCAAAAAUACUGUUUUUUUGUUGCAUACAAUUGUAUAUAUUUAAUACUAAUCAUAUUUCUUUAUGUGGAGUAUAAGCUGAUCAAGCUUGAAGACUUAAAUGUAAAUAAAUGUGAAGUUUGGUAGUUAAAAUUAUUGUACUUGACUAUUUUUAUACCACACUAUUUUCCAUAAAUAUUAGUUUUUGUUCCUACUUCUGGUUAUUUUUCUUAUCUUACUUUUCAAUGUAUUUUUAUAAGCUUUAAAGUUAUGUACUCUUGACUUUUUUUUAUAUACUGGAAGAAAAAUCUGUUUCGGUCAAAUUCAUAAAAGCUAGUCAGUAUUACUUCAAUUUGUCAUGUCUGGUAAGAAUUAUAAUCUCUCAAUGCCUUCUGAAUCCUCCUCUUAUCCACCUGUGUCUCAGCCAGCUUUCUAGUCUUUAUGCAUUAUAUUUUCUGUUGAUGUGAUGUAAUCUUAUGUCCUUUUUUGGAUCUGAGUUGGCUUGAAAUGUAUGUGUGAAAUAUUAUGCUGUUUCCUGUGCCACUUGGUGGUACUUGUUUAUUUGUAAAGAAUGUCUAUUGCUCUUUUAUUCCAGUCUCCACUACCUCAUGUGUCCUAUAGUCUAUUCUACCAAAGUUCACUUUCUAAAUAUAUAUAUAAAUAUACAGUAUA
Non-coding RNA from Oncorhynchus mykiss (rainbow trout), 1850 nucleotides. The record is from RefSeq and is a predicted model, not a curated record. NCBI's taxonomy places the organism in Eukaryota, Metazoa, Chordata, Actinopteri, Salmoniformes, Salmonidae.